GACGAACGCUGGCGGCGUGCUUAACACAUGCAAGUCGAACGGAAAGGCCCUGCUUUUGUGGGGUGCUCGAGUGGCGAACGGGUGAGUAACACGUGAGUAACCUGCCCUUGACUUUGGGAUAACUUCAGGAAACUGGGGCUAAUACCGGCUAGGAGCUCCUGCUACAUGGUGGGGGUUGGAAAGUUUCGGCGGUUGGGGAUGGACUCGCGGCUUAUCAGCUUGUUGGUGGGGUAGUGGCUUACCAAGGCUUUGACGGGUAGCCGGCCUGAGAGGGUGACCGGCCACAUUGGGACUGAGAUACGGCCCAGACUGCUACGGGAGGCAGCAGUGGGGAAUAUUGCACAAUGGGCGGAAGCCUGAUGCAGCAACGCCGCGUGCGGGAUGACGGCCUUCGGGUUGUAAACCGCUUUCGCCUGUGACGAAGCGUGAGUGACGGUAAUGGGUAAAGAAGCACCGGCUAACUACGUG
This 468-nucleotide ribosomal RNA is filed under the name uncultured bacterium. Its description in RNAcentral is "partial 16S ribosomal RNA". It matches the Rfam family "Bacterial small subunit ribosomal RNA", at positions 28 to 507 of the family's 1533-position model. The record is from RNAcentral.